AACGAACGCUGGCGGCAUGCUUCAUACAUGCAAGUCGAACGAGAAAGUCACUUCGGUGGCGAGUAGAGUGGCGCACGGGUGAGUAACACGUAGGUAACCUGCCCUUUAGCUGGGGAUAACAAGAAGAAAUUUUUGCUAAUACCGGAUAAGCUUAACCAAAUUGAAGUUGGUUAAGGAAAGAUGGCCUCUGAAUAUGCUAUCACUAAAGGAAGGGCCUGCGGGCCAUUAGCUAGUUGGUAGGGUAACGGCCUACCAAGGCGAUGAUAGCUAGCCGGUCUGGGAGGACGACCGGCCACACUGGAACUGAGACACGGUCCAGACUCCUACGGGAGGCAGCAGUAGGGAAUAUUGCGCAAUGGAGGAAACUCUGACGCAGCGAUGCCGCAUGAGUGAGGAAGGUCUUCGGAUUGUAAAACUCUGUCAGUGGGGACAAAUUGGAAUACGGAUAACACCCGUAUUUUUUGAUGGUACCCACAAAGGAAGCACCGGCUAACUUCGUGCCAGCAGCCGCAGUAA
RNAcentral lists this ribosomal RNA (516 nucleotides) under uncultured bacterium. RNAcentral describes it as "partial 16S ribosomal RNA". It matches the Rfam family "Bacterial small subunit ribosomal RNA", at positions 29 to 523 of the family's 1533-position model. The record is from RNAcentral.